CCUACGGGAGGCAGCAGUGAGGAAUAUUGGUCAAUGGGCGUAAGCCUGAACCAGCCAAGUCGCGUGAGGGAUGAAGGUUCUAUGGAUCGUAAACCUCUUUUAUAAGGGAAUAAAGUGUGGGACGUGUCCUAUUUUGUAUGUAACUUAUGAAUAAGGAUCGGCUAACUCCGUGCCAGCAGCCGCGGUAAUACGGAGGAUCCGAGCGUUAUCCGGAUUUAUAGGGUUUAAAGGGUGCGUAGGCGGCCUUUUAUGUCAGCGGUGAAAGUCUGUGGCUCAACCAUAGAAUUGCCGUUGAAACUGGGGGGCUAGAGUAUGUUUGAGGCAGGCGGAAUGCGUGGUGUAGCGGUGAAAUGCUUAGAUAUCACGCAGAACCCCGAUUGCGAAGGCAGCCUGCCAAGCCAUGACUGACGCUGAUGCACGAAGGCGUGGGGAUCGAACAGGAUUAGAUACCCGUGUAGUC
RNAcentral lists this ribosomal RNA (460 nucleotides) under uncultured bacterium. RNAcentral describes it as "partial 16S ribosomal RNA". It matches the Rfam family "Bacterial small subunit ribosomal RNA", at positions 338 to 795 of the family's 1533-position model. The record is from RNAcentral.